This 73-nucleotide transfer RNA is filed under the name Stegodyphus mimosarum. It matches the Rfam family "tRNA". From Rfam's summary of the family: Transfer RNA (tRNA) molecules are approximately 80 nucleotides in length. Their secondary structure includes four short double-helical elements and three loops (D, anti-codon, and T loops). The record is from Rfam by way of RNAcentral. Lineage: Eukaryota; Metazoa; Arthropoda; Arachnida; Araneae; Eresidae.
GCCUUCGUGGUGUAAUGGUCAGCACACUGAGCCCGUAUUUCAGAGGUCCGUGGUUCGAUCCCCGGCGAAGGCA